This 243-nucleotide ribosomal RNA is filed under the name uncultured bacterium. RNAcentral's name for it is "partial 16S ribosomal RNA". It matches the Rfam family "Bacterial small subunit ribosomal RNA", at positions 15 to 249 of the family's 1533-position model. The record is from RNAcentral.
GAUCAUGGCUCAGGAUGAACGCUAGCUACAGGCUUAACACAUGCAAGUCGAGGGGCAUCAGUUUGGUUUGCUUGCAAACCAAAGCUGGCGACCGGCGCACGGGUGAGUAACACGUAUCCAACCUGCCUCAUACUCGGGGAUAGCCUUUCGAAAGAAAGAUUAAUAUCCGAUAGCAUAUAUUUCCCGCAUGGGUUUUAUAUUAAGAAAUACGGUUAGUGAGAUGGGAGUGCGUUCCUACUUAAG